GUGACUACAACCAUGACUAUUGACCUUAAAGGAGAGGUGGUGACUACAACCAUGACUAGUGACCUUAAAGGAGAGGUUGUGACUACAACCAUGACUAGUGACCUUAAAGGAGAGGUUGUGACUACAACCAUGACUAGAGACCUUAAAGGGGAGGUGGUGACUACAACCAUGACUAGUGACCUUAAAGGAGAGGUUGUGACUACAACCAUGACUAGAGACCUUAAAGGAGAGGUGGUGACUACAACCAUGACUAGAGACCUUAAAGGAGAGGUUGUGACUACAACCAUGACUAGUGACCUUAAAGGAGAGGUGGUGACUACAACCAUGACUAGUGACCUUAAAGGAGAGGUUGUGACUACAACCAUGACUAGUGACCUUAAAGGAGAGGUGGUGACUACAACCAUGACUAGUGACCUUAAAGGAGAGGUGGUGACUACAACCAUGACUAGUGACCUUAAAGGAGAGGUUGUGACUACAACCAUGACUAGUGACCUUAAAGGAGAGGUGGUGACUACAACCAUGACUAGUGACCUUAUAGGAGAGGUUGUGACUACAACCAUGACUAGAGACCUUAAAGGGGAGGUGGUGACUACAACAUCUUAGAGUGUCAUGGAUGACAUGGAAAAGAAGCAGAG
RNAcentral lists this long non-coding RNA (635 nucleotides) under Salmo salar (Atlantic salmon). RNAcentral describes it as "lncRNA (ENSSSAG00000115118.1)". The record is from RNAcentral. Lineage: Eukaryota; Metazoa; Chordata; Actinopteri; Salmoniformes; Salmonidae.